UUGUCCUUCAUAUAGAUAAAAAGAUCCCUAUUUGGGGUGUCCCAGAAUAUAGGUCGAAAUUGAGUGAGGCGGAGAAAUCAAACUUAGGUUUCUUUGAGUGGAAGAGGCCGGAGGAUCCUCCAUGGGACGUUUACCAGAGGCUUUUUCGCCUAAAAGAUUAGAGUGUUCGGAGUAUGCUUCUUGAGAAGAGGCACAACCCUCAGAACGAUCAGACUCUAAGUCUACUUGCUUAGGAGGCACAAAUAAGGGUUUUGCCUUUGAGCGGGUUCUUUUUCUGGUGGAAGCAGAGAGGUUUUUGGAAGAUUUUGCCAUGGAAGAAGAAGGGGUUGGUACAGGUUGAGGAAAGGGUUGGUACAGGUUGAAGAGAGAAUAUGGAGAUGAAAGGCACUGAAAAUGGCUAAACUUAAAGAGAAGAGAUUUGACGGUUGAGUACAGGAAAUGAAGGUGUG
Molecule: long non-coding RNA, 449 nt
Filed under: Nicotiana benthamiana
Lineage: Eukaryota; Viridiplantae; Streptophyta; Magnoliopsida; Solanales; Solanaceae
Description: long non-coding RNA (NBEN_LNC010249)
Source: RNAcentral